UACGUAGGUGGCGAGCGUUGUCCGGAUUUACUGGGUGUAAAGGGCGUGUAGGCGGGAAUGUAAGUCAGAUGUGAAACUCCGGGGCUCAACCUCGGAACUGCAUCUGAAACUAUGUUUCUUGAGUGCUGGAGAGGAAAGCGGAAUUCCUAGUGUAGCGGUGAAAUGCGUAGAUAUUAGGAGGAACACCAGUGGCGAAGGCGGCUUUCUGGACAGUAACUGACGCUGAGGCGCGAAAGCGUGGGGAGCAAACAGG
Molecule: ribosomal RNA, 253 nt
Filed under: uncultured bacterium
Lineage: Bacteria
Description: partial 16S ribosomal RNA
Rfam family: Bacterial small subunit ribosomal RNA
Source: RNAcentral